CCUACGGGAGGCAGCAGUGGGGAAUAUUGGACAAUGGGGGCAACCCUGAUCCAGCCAUGCCGCGUGUGUGAAGAAGGCCCUCGGGUUGUAAAGCACUUUCAGUGAGGAAGAACGCCUGGUGGUUAAUACCCAUCAGGAAAGACAUCACUCACAGAAGAAGCACCGGCUAACUCCGUGCCAGCAGCCGCGGUAAUACGGAGGUGGCGAGCGUUAAUCGGAAUUACUGGGCGUAAAGCGCGCGUAGGUGGCUUGAUAAGCCGGUUGUGAAAGCCCCGGGCUCAACCUGGGAACGGCAUCCGGAACUGUCAAGCUAGAGUGCAGGAGAGGAAGGUAGAAUUCCAGGUGUAGCGGUGAAAUGCGUAGAGAUCGGGAGGAAUACCAGUGGCGAAGGCGGCCUUCUGGACUGACACUGACACUGAGGUGCGAAAGCGUGGGUAGCAAACAGGAUUAGAUACCCUUGUAGUC
Molecule: ribosomal RNA, 465 nt
Filed under: Vreelandella stevensii
Lineage: Bacteria; Pseudomonadati; Pseudomonadota; Gammaproteobacteria; Oceanospirillales; Halomonadaceae
Description: partial 16S ribosomal RNA
Rfam family: Bacterial small subunit ribosomal RNA
Source: RNAcentral